GAUAUUUGUCUCCUGGACACGAACUUCUGUCAUGAGAAAAGGAACCUCGACUGAAGAGAGGUUGCCACCCACCAUGGCCUGGGAAGCCGUACUCAAGAGCUGAAAACCAGAAGCGUUGCUUGAUACUACAGAUCACCAAGUCACCUCACUGGUUGGAUUCACAGCUGUGCUGCGAUUUGUGUUUUCAAGAACGUCCACACACGUGAGAAAGCCUGGCGAUUCUCAGUCUUUGAACAGUAUGUGCAUCAGACUGGUGCUUAGCUGAAUCCUUCUACCCUUUUGCCCUUGGUCCAUGCCGUUUCCAGAAUACUGCAUCUGAUGUUCCAGAGAGAUAGGAAAAUGGCCAGUUAGAUCUUUAUCACAGUCUGCUCUCACAUUAACUGGUUGACCUCUGUUUCUCUUUGGUGUUUGUCCCACUGGUUCUGCACAAACAUCUCCCUUUUAGAACACAGUGAACUAUAUCAACAAUUCUGUUCCAUUCUUUACUGCAUCUACUAAAAGGGACAGAGAAAUUUUUAGAAAAUAACCAGAAAUUGAGGGCUGUCUGCCUUUUGGUUUAAGGUGGUGAGUCGCAACCUUUCUAAUGCUGCAACCCUUUAAUACAGUUACUCAUGUUGUGGUGACCCCCGAUCAUAAAAUUAUUUUCACUGCUACUUCAUAACUGUAAUUUUGCUACUGUUACAAAUUGUAGUGUAAUAUCUGUGUUUUCCAGUGCUCUUUGGCAAUACUUGUGAGAAUGUCAUUUUAUGCCCAAAGGAGUCAUGACCUACAGGUUGACAAUCAUUGCUUUAAGCAGUUAUCCUUACUUUUGUCCUAAAUAAACUAAUGUUUCUACUUCUAA
Mus musculus (house mouse) is the source of this 841-nucleotide long non-coding RNA. RefSeq annotates it as predicted gene, 40376. The record is from RefSeq and is marked validated. Lineage: Eukaryota; Metazoa; Chordata; Mammalia; Rodentia; Muridae. The transcript is spliced from 3 exons.